This 2622-nucleotide ribosomal RNA is filed under the name Staphylococcus aureus. RNAcentral's name for it is "partial 23S ribosomal RNA". It matches the Rfam family "Bacterial large subunit ribosomal RNA", at positions 296 to 2925 of the family's 2925-position model. Lineage: Bacteria; Bacillati; Bacillota; Bacilli; Caryophanales; Staphylococcaceae. The record is from RNAcentral.
AGGACACUCUAUACGGAGUUACAAAGGACGACAUUAGACGAAUCAUCUGGAAAGAUGAAUCAAAGAAGGUAAUAAUCCUGUAGUCGAAAAUGUUGUCUCUCUUGAGUGGAUCCUGAGUACGACGGAGCACGUGAAAUUCCGUCGGAAUCUGGGAGGACCAUCUCCUAAGGCUAAAUACUCUCUAGUGACCGAUAGUGAACCAGUACCGUGAGGGAAAGGUGAAAAGCACCCCGGAAGGGGAGUGAAAUAGAACCUGAAACCGUGUGCUUACAAGUAGUCAGAGCCCGUUAAUGGGUGAUGGCGUGCCUUUUGUAGAAUGAACCGGCGAGUUACGAUUUGAUGCAAGGUUAAGCAGUAAAUGUGGAGCCGUAGCGAAAGCGAGUCUGAAUAGGGCGUUUAGUAUUUGGUCGUAGACCCGAAACCAGGUGAUCUACCCUUGGUCAGGUUGAAGUUCAGGUAACACUGAAUGGAGGACCGAACCGACUUACGUUGAAAAGUGAGCGGAUGAACUGAGGGUAGCGGAGAAAUUCCAAUCGAACCUGGAGAUAGCUGGUUCUCUCCGAAAUAGCUUUAGGGCUAGCCUCAAGUGAUGAUUAUUGGAGGUAGAGCACUGUUUGGACGAGGGGCCCCUCUCGGGUUACCGAAUUCAGACAAACUCCGAAUGCCAAUUAAUUUAACUUGGGAGUCAGAACAUGGGUGAUAAGGUCCGUGUUCGAAAGGGAAACAGCCCAGACCACCAGCUAAGGUCCCAAAAUAUAUGUUAAGUGGAAAAGGAUGUGGCGUUGCCCAGACAACUAGGAUGUUGGCUUAGAAGCAGCCAUCAUUUAAAGAGUGCGUAAUAGCUCACUAGUCGAGUGACACUGCGCCGAAAAUGUACCGGGGCUAAACAUAUUACCGAAGCUGUGGAUUGUCCUUUGGACAAUGGUAGGAGAGCGUUCUAAGGGCGUUGAAGCAUGAUCGUAAGGACAUGUGGAGCGCUUAGAAGUGAGAAUGCCGGUGUGAGUAGCGAAAGACGGGUGAGAAUCCCGUCCACCGAUUGACUAAGGUUUCCAGAGGAAGGCUCGUCCGCUCUGGGUUAGUCGGGUCCUAAGCUGAGGCCGACAGGCGUAGGCGAUGGAUAACAGGUUGAUAUUCCUGUACCACCUAUAAUCGUUUUAAUCGAUGGGGGGACGCAGUAGGAUAGGCGAAGCGUGCGAUUGGAUUGCACGUCUAAGCAGUAAGGCUGAGUAUUAGGCAAAUCCGGUACUCGUUAAGGCUGAGCUGUGAUGGGGAGAAGACAUUGAGUCUUCGAGUCGUUGAUUUCACACUGCCGAGAAAAGCCUCUAGAUAGAAAAUAGGUGCCCGUACCGCAAACCGACACAGGUAGUCAAGAUGAGAAUUCUAAGGUGAGCGAGCGAACUCUCGUUAAGGAACUCGGCAAAAUGACCCCGUAACUUCGGGAGAAGGGGUGCUCUUUAGGGUUAACGCCCAGAAGAGCCGCAGUGAAUAGGCCCAAGCGACUGUUUAUCAAAAACACAGGUCUCUGCUAAACCGUAAGGUGAUGUAUAGGGGCUGACGCCUGCCCGGUGCUGGAAGGUUAAGAGGAGUGGUUAGCUUCUGCGAAGCUACGAAUCGAAGCCCCAGUAAACGGCGGCCGUAACUAUAACGGUCCUAAGGUAGCGAAAUUCCUUGUCGGGUAAGUUCCGACCCGCACGAAAGGCGUAACGAUUUGGGCACUGUCUCAACGAGAGACUCGGUGAAAUCAUAGUACCUGUGAAGAUGCAGGUUACCCGCGACAGGACGGAAAGACCCCGUGGAGCUUUACUGUAGCCUGAUAUUGAAAUUCGGCACAGCUUGUACAGGAUAGGUAGGAGCCUUUGAAACGUGAGCGCUAGCUUACGUGGAGGCGCUGGUGGGAUACUACCCUAGCUGUGUUGGCUUUCUAACCCGCACCACUUAUCGUGGUGGGAGACAGUGUCAGGCGGGCAGUUUGACUGGGGCGGUCGCCUCCUAAAAGGUAACGGAGGCGCUCAAAGGUUCCCUCAGAAUGGUUGGAAAUCAUUCAUAGAGUGUAAAGGCAUAAGGGAGCUUGACUGCGAGACCUACAAGUCGAGCAGGGUCGAAAGACGGACUUAGUGAUCCGGUGGUUCCGCAUGGAAGGGCCAUCGCUCAACGGAUAAAAGCUACCCCGGGGAUAACAGGCUUAUCUCCCCCAAGAGUUCACAUCGACGGGGAGGUUUGGCACCUCGAUGUCGGCUCAUCGCAUCCUGGGGCUGUAGUCGGUCCCAAGGGUUGGGCUGUUCGCCCAUUAAAGCGGUACGCGAGCUGGGUUCAGAACGUCGUGAGACAGUUCGGUCCCUAUCCGUCGUGGGCGUAGGAAAUUUGAGAGGAGCUGUCCUUAGUACGAGAGGACCGGGAUGGACAUACCUCUGGUGUACCAGUUGUCGUGCCAACGGCAUAGCUGGGUAGCUAUGUGUGGACGGGAUAAGUGCUGAAAGCAUCUAAGCAUGAAGCCCCCCUCAAGAUGAGAUUUCCCAACUUCGGUUAUAAGAUCCCUCAAAGAUGAUGAGGUUAAUAGGUUCGAGGUGGAAGCAUGGUGACAUGUGGAGCUGACGAAUACUAAUCGAUCGAAGACUUAAUCAA